RNAcentral lists this ribosomal RNA (253 nucleotides) under uncultured bacterium. RNAcentral describes it as "partial 16S ribosomal RNA". It matches the Rfam family "Bacterial small subunit ribosomal RNA", at positions 524 to 776 of the family's 1533-position model. The record is from RNAcentral.
UACAGAGGGUGCGAGCGUUAAUCGGAAUUACUGGGCGUAAAGCGUGCGUAGACGGCUAUCUAAGUCGGGUGUGAAAGCCCCGGGCUCAACCUGGGAAUUGCAUUCGAGACUGAAUAGCUAGGGUACGGUAGAGGGAAGCGGAAUUUCCGGUGUAGCGGUGAAAUGCGUAGGUAUCGGAAGGAACAUCAGUGGCGAAAGCGGCUUCCUGGACCAGUACCGACGUUCAGGCACGAAAGCGUGGGGAGCAAACAGG